This 496-nucleotide ribosomal RNA is filed under the name uncultured bacterium. RNAcentral describes it as "partial 16S ribosomal RNA". It matches the Rfam family "Bacterial small subunit ribosomal RNA", at positions 28 to 506 of the family's 1533-position model. The record is from RNAcentral.
GAUGAACGCUGGCGGCGUGCCUAAUACAUGCAAGUCGAGCGAACGGACGAGAAGCUUGCUUCUCUGAUGUUAGCGGCGGACGGGUGAGUAACACGUGGAUAACCUACCUAUAAGACUGGGAUAACUUCGGGAAACCGGAGCUAAUACCGGAUAAUAUUUUGAACCGCAUGGUUCAAAAGUGAAAGACGGUCUUGCUGUCACUUAUAGAUGGAUCCGCGCUGCAUUAGCUAGUUGGUAAGGUAACGGCUUACCAAGGCAACGAUGCAUAGCCUACCUGAGAGGGGGACAGGCCACCUGGGAACGGGAACAGGGCCCAAACCCCAACGGGAGGCAGGAGUAGGGAAUUUCCCGAAAUGGGCGAAAGCCUGAAGGAGCAACGCCGGGGGAGGGAUGAAGGUCUUGGGAUGGUAAAAAUUUGUUAUUAGGGAAAAAAAUAUGGGAAAGUAACUGGGCAAAUCUGGAGGGUACCAAAUCAAAAAGCCAGGGAAAACUACGU